CUAACGUUUGGGGGAUGGGCUGCGUUCCAUUAGCUAGUUGGUAGGGUAACGGCCUACCAAGGCGACGAUGGAUAGCUGGUCUGAGAGGAUGAUCAGCCACACUGGGACUGAGAUACGGCCCAG
RNAcentral lists this ribosomal RNA (123 nucleotides) under uncultured bacterium. RNAcentral's name for it is "partial 16S ribosomal RNA". It matches the Rfam family "Bacterial small subunit ribosomal RNA", at positions 212 to 334 of the family's 1533-position model. The record is from RNAcentral.